Molecule: transfer RNA, 77 nt
Filed under: Terriglobia bacterium
Lineage: Bacteria; Pseudomonadati; Acidobacteriota; Terriglobia
Also listed under: 1 other name
Description: tRNA-Arg
Rfam family: tRNA
About the family: Transfer RNA (tRNA) molecules are approximately 80 nucleotides in length.
Source: RNAcentral
GCGCCCGUAGCUCAGUUGGAUAGAGCGACUGGCUACGAACCAGUAGGUCGGCAGUUCGAAUCUGUCCGGGCGCACCA